CGAAAUUUCUUAGGGUUUUGGUGGAUCCCCUAGAAGAUGUGAAAACAUCAUCAAUACCAACAAAUUGUAAAACCAUGGAACCCUAGCAGCCACGAUUCCUGAAUCACGAGGAGUCGGAACAAUACAAACAGUAACUGACUCGGGGUUCUCCCUGCCGACUCAGUUUUGUUUUUGAACCGACAUGAUUUUCAUCAGUUCGUCCUUGAGGGUUGGACCGAUAGCCUCUCCUAAUUUGAAUCAGCACUAUGAUUUGGUUGAGGGUAAUAAAAUUUGCAGAAACGAAAUACAGAUAGAAAAAACAAGAAAUUAUGACUAGUUGGAAUUUCAUGCCGACCCAAACGACAAAGCGAAAAUCGGUGUUCGUUAAUGUCGAUCUACUGAAACCGGGAACAAAUAGACACACUCGAGCGAUGAAGGCUGUUAUCUCUUCACUAGUGAAGAUUCUGAUUAUUCCCAACCAUGGUGGUCGAUAGUUAGUGAUAGCUUCUCAUCCCACUCGAAUCUUCACAACCCACAAAAAAAAGUUUAAGUGUAGUUGAGUUAUGGACAGAGUAUGAAUUAAAUUCGUCUCAUAGAGGUAAUCCCUAACAUCAGGGACAUGGAUGGAUUGUCCCUAAUGUGCAACGAUCGGGGAGCCAUCGAAAAAGCCGAACAAGGAAUUCAAUCGUCUACUCCCAAUAAAAAUAUCGUCUUGUCAUUUGAGGGAAAUGCAUAAGUAAAGGAGACAAAGGCUCUGGCUCUUAUCCAGAAGUAUGAAGCAUUCAAGAUUGAGGAAGAUGAGAACAUUGAAGCAAUGUUUUCAAGAAUCCAGACUCUGACUGCUGGAUUGAGAGUGAUAAAGGCUACACCAAAGUUGAUCAUGUAAAGAAGAUUAUCAGAAGCUUACCCAGAAGAUGGGGACCCAUGGUGACUGCCUUCAAGAUUGCCAAUUUGAAUGAGGUAUCUCUUGAAGAGCUGAUUAGUGUCUUGAGAAGUCAUGAGAUUGAGCUGUAUUCAAAUGAACCUCAGAAGAAAGAUAAGUCUAUUGCUUUGAAAUCAAAUAAAAAAAAUGCACUAACUCUUUUCAGGCAGAUGAAGAAAGAUCUGAAGAGUCAGAAUCUGAAGAAGAGGAUGAACUGUCUCUUAUAUCUAGAAGAGUAAAUCAACUCUGGAAGAGCAAGCAGAGAAGAUUUAAGAACUUAAAAAGACCUGAAAAGGGAGAAUCUUCUAAUCACAAAAGACCUGAAAAGGCAUGAUGGCUACAUGGGACGACUCUGAUUCAUCUGAUCAAGAGUCAAACUCUGAAGAUGAGCAAGCCAACAUAGCACUUAUGGCAAUAGUUGACACUGAAGAAGAAGCUUGAUCGGAAAAUUAUAGCAAGUGCACUAUUUUCUCGAUGUAGUAAUAAUUGGGGUUAUCCCCAGUGUCGAUCUCUUGAGGACUGCGCAGAAACUUAAGUGUUUUAACAAAUUCAAUUGAACAAAAACUCCUUGGUUUGUUUCAAUGUUGUUUGCAAAAUUAUAAAAUAUGAAUUAAAAAUAACAA
Vicia villosa (hairy vetch) is the source of this 1524-nucleotide long non-coding RNA. RefSeq lists it as uncharacterized. The record is from RefSeq and is a predicted model, not a curated record. NCBI's taxonomy places the organism in Eukaryota, Viridiplantae, Streptophyta, Magnoliopsida, Fabales, Fabaceae. The transcript has 5 exons.